RNAcentral lists this non-coding RNA (34 nucleotides) under Lysinibacillus sp. BF-4. Its description in RNAcentral is "L31-Firmicutes ribosomal protein leader". It matches the Rfam family "L31-Firmicutes ribosomal protein leader". The record is from RNAcentral. Lineage: Bacteria; Bacillati; Bacillota; Bacilli; Caryophanales; Bacillaceae.
CUCUGACCUAGCAAAUAGUUCAGGGCGAGAGGAG